AUAAUGCUAAAGUAAUUUGUUGUGUUAUGGUAUCUGAAGAAAUAAUUAGUACAUGAAUAUGUACAAGUUAAUCAAUGUACAUAUUUGAUAUUAAUGAGUACAUGAUUUACAUAUAAACAAUUAGCUAUGCAAAAUCAAACUAUAUUAUUUCUUUAGGCGACACUUAACAUCUCUAUAGUGUAACACAGACUUUCAGGUAUUUGUUAUGAGUUGUUGCAUCUCUAUAGUGUAACACAGACUUUCAGGUAUUUGUUAUGAGUUGUUGCAUCAGG
This 272-nucleotide long non-coding RNA is filed under the name Medicago truncatula (barrel medic). RNAcentral's name for it is "long non-coding RNA (MTRU_LNC005053)". Lineage: Eukaryota; Viridiplantae; Streptophyta; Magnoliopsida; Fabales; Fabaceae. The record is from RNAcentral.